Molecule: long non-coding RNA, 944 nt
Organism: Hermetia illucens (black soldier fly)
Lineage: Eukaryota; Metazoa; Arthropoda; Insecta; Diptera; Stratiomyidae
Exons: 2
Source: RefSeq, a predicted model, not a curated record
AUUGAUUAAUUACAGAACCACCUUCAGGAGAUUCCUAGUCUUUAGAAUUAUGAAAUGUAUCCAAACCAUCCAAACCGUCUAUAGUAUAAAGUUGACUCACAGCAAUUUGUGUAUAAGUUAUCAAACUUAAUCAUGUAAACAAAUGAGAUUCGCGAAUAUUCCAAACACAAAUUGACUUCUCCUAUCCCGUUCCUCAUUCGCCAGUUAUUCAAAUUCUUUUGUAUAAUAAAGGUUGACAUUCUUUCAUACACUAUUGCUCACUUACGGAAAAUUGGUGUGAGCAGAAUCUUGACAAAGGCACAAUGCAGAAUUUUUUAUGAACAUAAUUAAGAAUUUUACAACGGAAGGAAAAUUUGUACAUUUCAUGGGGAGUCUGCCCAAGCGCUUCACAAUAUUCUUUGACCACAAACAGCCAGUUUGAUUUGGAGAAGAAUCCCCAACUCAACAGCUAAGAUUAGAACAAAAAUUGCCAGCAAAUAUUGAAUUGAAUAUACGUUAUUUAGAAUGGAUAAUGAAAUAUUUAAAUUUAAAACAGAUGCGAUUAACAUCAAAGUGAUAUUACUGGCUAUCCUUUGCGACAUCAUAGAGUACCGCACCCUUUAGCAGCAAUUAGACCGAAGGGUGGUUUUAAUGCAUCCUGCAUUUCAUCUAGUAGUCAUUGAAUAAUUAUUUGCCAUUAGGCCAACAUUUUUGAAUUAUUGACAUUUACCUUUGAUAGCGUGGGCGUUGCAACGUUUACAAUCGCUUGCUAUUCAAAUAAAAAGAAAUACCCCCAAGAACGGCAAAUUAUAAUUUCUUGUCCUUAUAUAGACGAUUUAUCAGCAGAAGCAUAUUCUUGGAGCAAUUAACGAAAACAAAAAAUAAAAUAAAAAGUAUUCCAAAGAAACUUGAAUUACGCAAGUGAUUUUUGAACUCUUAUGAAAUAGUAAAGAACAUUUCACAUA